RNAcentral lists this ribosomal RNA (646 nucleotides) under uncultured Streptomyces sp. Its description in RNAcentral is "bacterial SSU rRNA". It matches the Rfam family "Bacterial small subunit ribosomal RNA", at positions 232 to 885 of the family's 1533-position model. The record is from RNAcentral. Lineage: Bacteria; Bacillati; Actinomycetota; Actinomycetes; Kitasatosporales; Streptomycetaceae.
CGCGGCCUAUCAGCUUGUUGGUGGGGUGAUGGCCUACCAAGGCGACGACGGGUAGCCGGCCUGAGAGGGCGACCGGCCACACUGGGACUGAGACACGGCCCAGACUCCUACGGGAGGCAGCAGUGGGGAAUAUUGCACAAUGGGCGGAAGCCUGAUGCAGCGACGCCGCGUGAGGGAUGACGGCCUUCGGGUUGUAAACCUCUUUCAGCAGGGAAGAAGCCUUUUCGGUGACGGUACCUGCAGAAGAAGCACCGGCUAACUACGUGCCAGCAGCCGCGGUAAUACGUAGGGUGCGAGCGUUGUCCGGAAUUAUUGGGCGUAAAGAACUCGUAGGCGGCUUGUCGCGUCGGAUGUGAAAGCCCGGGGCUUAACUCCGGGUCUGCAUUCGAUACGGGCAGGCUAGAGUUCGGUAGGGGAGAUCGGAAUUCCUGGUGUAGCGGUGAAAUGCGCAGAUAUCAGGAGGAACACCGGUGGCGAAGGCGGAUCUCUGGGCCGAUACUGACGCUGAGGAGCGAAAGCGUGGGGAGCGAACAGGAUUAGAUACCCUGGUAGUCCACGCCGUAAACGUUGGGAACUAGGUGUGGGUCACAUUCCACGUGGUCCGUGCCGCAGCUAACGCAUUAAGUUCCCCGCCUGGGGAGUACGG